This 253-nucleotide ribosomal RNA is filed under the name uncultured bacterium. Its description in RNAcentral is "partial 16S ribosomal RNA". It matches the Rfam family "Bacterial small subunit ribosomal RNA", at positions 524 to 776 of the family's 1533-position model. The record is from RNAcentral.
GACGAACCGUGCGAACGUUGUUCGGAAUCACUGGGCUUAAAGGGCGCGUAGGCGGGCGGGCGCGUCCGGGGUGAAAUCUGUCGGCUCAACCGGCAGACGGCCCCGGGUACGGUCCGCCUCGAGGGGGGUAGGGGGGCGCGGAACUCUGGGUGGAGCGGUGAAAUGCGUUGAUAUCCAGAGGAACUCCGGUGGCGAAGGCGGCGUCCUGGACCCCAUCUGACGCUGAGGCGCGAAAGCCGGGGGAGCGAACGGG